CCGCCUUAGCCGAGGAUGCUGAGGAUGAAGCUGCCGCUGAAGCCGACGCACCCCGCGGAGCCGCCGCCCGAGGCGGAGGAGCCCGAGGCGGACGCGCGGCCGGGCGCGAAGGCGCCGCCGCGCCGCCGCCGCGACUGCCGCCCCCCGCCGCCACCGCCGCCGCUCUCGGGCCAGCCGCGAGGUCCCCCGCCGCCGCCGCCGCCGCCCCGGGGGCUCGGGCCGCCUGUUGCUGGCGGAGCGGCGGCGGGGGCGAGCAUGCCGGGCGGCGGCGGAGGCGGCGGCGGGCCCGCGGCGGCGCUGCGUGAGCAGGAGCGGGUGUACGAGUGGUUCGGGCUGGUGCUGGGCUCGGCGCAGCGCCUGGAGUUCAUGUGCGGGCUGCUGGACCUGUGCAACCCACUGGAGCUGCGCUUCCUCGGCUCGUGCCUGGAGGACCUGGCGCGCAAGGACUACCACUAUCUGCGCGACUCGGAGGCCAAGGCCAACGGCCUCUCGGACCCAGGGCCACUUGCCGACUUCCGAGAGCCUGCCGUGCGCUCGCGCCUCAUCGUUUACCUGGCGUUGCUGGGCUCGGAGAACCGUGAGGCCGCCAGCCGCCUGCACCGCCUCCUGCCCCAGGUGGACUCGGUGCUCAAGAGCCUGCGCGCGGCCCGGGGCGAAGGCUCGCGGGGCGGCGCGGAGGACGAGCCCGGCGAGCGCGGCCAAGACGGCGAAGGCGAGGAGGACGCCGAGAAGGACGGCUCCGGCCCGGAAGGUAGUGGCGCCGAGCCGUGGCCCGGCGGCGGGCUGGGCUUCAGGGCCCAGGAGGAACUGCUGCUGCUCUUCACCAUGGCUUCGCUGCACCCGGCCUUCUCCUUCCACCAGCGGGUCACCCUGAGGGAGCACCUGGAGAGGCUCCGCGCGGCGCUCCGCGGGGGCCCCGAGGACGCGGAGGUGGAGGCGGAGCCGUGCAACUUUGCUGGCCCCCGGGCCCAGAAUAACUCUACUCAUGGUGAUUUUAUGCAAAGUAACGAGGCCAGUUUAAUAGAACAAGCCCCAAUACCUCAUGACGGACUCACUGUGGCACCUCAUAGAACCCAGCGAGAAGCUGUACACAUUGAGAAGAUAAUGUUGAAAGGAGUCCAGAGAAAAAGGGCUGACAAAAAUUGGGAGUACACCUUCAAAGUAAAUUGGUCUGAUCUUUCAGUCACAACAGUAACAAAAACCCACCAAGAACUUCAGGAAUUUCUGCUGAAGCUUCCAAAGGAAUUGUCCUCAGAGACUUUUGACAAGACCAUCUUGAGAGCCCUGAAUCAGGGAUCAUUGAAGAGGGAGGAACGACGACACCCUGACCUGGAGCCCAUCCUGAGGCAGCUAUUUUCAACUUCAUCACAAGCUUUUCUACAGAGUCAGAAAGUACACAGCUUUUUUCAGUCCAUAUCGUCAGACCCUCUGCACAGCCUCAAUAACUUACAAUCCUCUCUGAAGACUUCUAAGAUAUUAGAACACUUAAAAGAAGACAGCUCAGAAGCUUCAAGUCAAGAUGAAGAUGUGUUACAGCACACCAUAGUCCACAAGAAACACACCGGGAAAAGUCCCAUUGUAAACACUGUUGGUACAAGUUGUUCUCCGUUGGAUGGGCUCACCAUGCAGUAUUCUGAACAGAAUGGAAUCGUAGAUUGGAGGAAGCAGACCUGCACCACCGUUCAGCACCCGGAGCACUGCGUGGCCUUGGCCGACCAGCAUUCAACUGAAAAACGAAGCUUAUCUUCAAUAAAUAAGAAGAAAGGGAAGCCACAAAUAGAAAAGGAGAAAAUUAAGAAAACUGACAGCAGAUUAAACAGUAGAAUAAAUGGUAUCCGGCUCCCCACCCCCCAGCACGCCCACGGUGGUUCUGUGAAAGAUGUGAAUUUGGACAUUGGGUCUGGACAUGACACAUGUGGAGAAACAUCCUCAGAGAGUUACAGUUCUCCGUCUAGCCCACGACAUGAUGGAAGAGAAAGUUUUGAAAGUGAAGAAGAAAAAGACAGAGACACAGACAGCAAUUCUGAGGACUCUGGGAAUCCAUCAGCAACCAGGUUUACAGGUUAUGGUUCUGUCAACCAGGCUGUCACUGUCAAGCCACCUGUUCAUAUUGCUUCGCUAGGAAAUGACAGCGCAAACCUUUUAGAAGAUCCCUUAAACUCGCCCAAGUAUCAGCCAAUUUCCCUUCUGCCAGCUUUACAGUAUGUCAUGCAAAACGGUGCCCAGAAGUCUGAGGUGGUCGUUCCUCCUCCCAAAUCUGCUGACGGCAAAACUAUAGGGAUGCUUGUUCCCAGCCCUUUCUCUGCAGUGAAGGAGUCCGCAAAUUCAACCCCUGUCGGAAUACUCGGGACAGCAGCUUCUACUGGAGAAUCAGAAAAACACCUUGAGCUGCUGGCUUCCCCGUUACCUCUUCCGUCAACGUUCCUCCCACACAGCAGCGCUCCUGCUUUGCACCUCACAAUUCAGAGGCUCAAGUUGCCGCCGCAGCAGGGAUCUUCCGAGAGUUGCACAGUUAACAUCCCACAGCAACCAGCCGGGAACCUGAGCAUCGGAUCACCAAACACUGCCUUUAUUCCCGUCCACAGCCCGGCUAGUUUUCCAGGAUCUCCUGUCGCUACCACGGACCCCAUCACAAAACCCGCAUCCCAAGUGGUAGGACUCAAUCAAAUGGUGCCUCAAAUUGAGGGAAGCACAGGGGCCGUCCCUCAGCCUACCAAUGUGAAGGUCGUUCUCCCAGCAGCCGGCCUCUCCACCGCACAGCCACCAGCUCCCUACACCUUGCCAGGCUCCCCCCUCGCUGCCGGCGUGCUCCCCAGCCAGAGCUCUGGCGUGCUCAGCCCCGCAGCGACAUCUGCCCAGUCGGCGGGUGCGGGCAUCAGCCAGGCCCAGUCCAGCGUCCCUCCUGCGGUCCCCACCCACACCCCCGGCCCCGCCCCGAGCCCCAGCCCCGCUCUGACACACAGCACAGCGCAGAGCGACAGCACGCCCUACAUCAGUGCCGUGGGGAACACGAGCGCCAGCGGGACGGUGCUGCCGCCACAGCAGAUGGGCUCGGGUCCUUGCGGGUCCUGUGGGCGAAGGUGCAGCUGUGGGACCAAUGGAAACCUUCAGCUAAACAGUUACUACUAUCCCAGCCCGGUGCCCGGACCAAUGUACCGGGUCCCGUCUUUCUUCACCCUGCCGUCCAUCUGCAAUGGCAGCUACCUCAACCAAGCACAUCAGAGCAACGGAAACCAACUUCCUUUUUUUCUGCCUCAGACUCCGUAUGCAAACGGACUGGUGCAUGACCCAGUCAUGGGGAGCCAAGCCAACUACGGCAUGCAGCAGAUGGGAGGCUUUGGGAGAUUCUACCCUGUGUAUCCAGCAGCCAGUGUAGUUGCCAACACGAGCGGUUCAGGGCCCAAGAAGAACGGGAAUGUCUCCUGUUACAACUGUGGUGUGAGCGGACACUAUGCGCAGGAGUGUAAGCAGUCGUCCAUGGAGGCCAGUCAACAAGGCACUUACAGACUGAGAUACGCACCUCCCCUACCCCCUCCUAGUGAUACGUUGGAUUCUGCAGACUGAAACAAGCAAAGCUUGCCUCCUUAAUACACUGAAGUGUGGGGAGUCCUGGUGGGGUGUGGAGGGGAGGAAAGGAAAGGCAGCAUCUAGCACUUAGGAGCACCAUCCACCUGAGCCUGGAAGACAGCUUUUUCAAUCCUACAUACUGAUUACAAAAGCAUUCUAAGGUUAAGGCAGUGAAACCAAAUGGAGCUGCAACUUGAAUCACUGUAAAAGGGCUCAGCCAGCGUCUCAUCAAAAGAAAUUGCUAAUUGGGCAGCACCGCCACCUGGUGGGGGACGAGGGCAAUGCAAGCAAGCAGAUGUUACUGCCCACUGACCUAAUUUAGAGAAAACUGAACAGAAGACAGAAAACAUUUGAGAUUGUAAGCCUGUGCCCAGAACCUUAAAGAGUGCAGGCAUCUGGCCAUAAAAGUACUUUGAGCAGUCUCCUCUUUCAGCCACUGCAAUCUCAGUUUGUUACACACAUCUUAAAUGAACGGAUGGUACUUUACAGUUUCCUUUGCACUCUCCUCGGUGCUCAUUGCUCAGCACGACUGUGAAGGGUGUGGGAUCUUCCUCCUCCCUGUUUUACAGAUUAGUAACUCGCGGUUCAGAGGGGUUCAGUGCCAGUGAUGAAGGCCAGGCCCCAACUUCAGGUUAGUGCUUACCUCCCGCAGCACUUCGGCCCCGCCAAGUGCUUCUCUGCUGAACCCAGGGCCCUGACCUUUUAAACCCUAUAAAGCCUAUAGAAAAUGAUAGGCACCCAUGGUCUUAGCAGCCACGGGGCCUCUGGAUUCCUGAGGGAGGACCGGGCCAGGUCCCGGUUGAUCAGAAUUGUAUAUCCGUCGAAGGAUUUGAAAACACGAGGUGAGGGAAAGUCUGCAGAGCUGGGAAACGUCAGGACUCCCAGAGCUAGGCUGUGAGCAUUUGCCUGUCUCAACUCCGCCUACACCCAAGGUUUUAAACAUUCCAGAACACGAAGUUUUGCUCUGCAAAGAUUUUUAUUAUCCCCAGAUGUCUUGGUAAAUUGAGCAUUUAGUGAAUAUUCCAUUAAUUUUAAGACUUCAGAACUUAAGAAAUGAAGUAGCAGGACCAGCAGAAAAGACACUUAACUGCCAGUAUUUUUAUAGCUCUGACAUUUGCAUACAGAUUGUCCCAGGCACUCCCUCUCCCAGCCUCUGCUACUCAAAGACACUCAAAAGCCAAGAAUGACAGCAGCACAGUCACCUUCAAGCAGGAACAGUGACAGUCACACCCACCCCAAAAGCCUUUCAGAGUGCUCAGAAUGCCACCAGGUCACCUAGUAGUUACUUAGUGCCCAUUCUUGCCAGCAUGUCAGUGUUGGGUCAUAUUUGUGACAUGGUAACUCAAUUGUGUACAAUGUGGUACCAACAAAGCCUUGUUCCCAGCACCUACCCACAGGACGUGUGACCUCUCUAGGUUAAUUCACAGAGCGGGGACAACAUUCACCUUGUUAGAAGAGUUACAAGGAUUAAAUCUUCCAAAAUCCAUAAAGCACUAUGUCUGACACAUAGUAGGUGCUCAGUAAAUUCAUGAUGGCAGCAAACACCUUAAUGCCACUCACAGGCCAGACACAGUUCAGCCUCAACUGUGUGAGAUGGGUACUCCGCCCCAUUUUACAGUUGGGGAAAUUGAGGCACAAAGUCUGACUACGUGUCUGAGGACCCAGAGCAAUUGAGCGACAGGGCUGGGAUCGGACCCCGCUGCUCUUAGCCCCUGGCCCCAGGAUGUUACACAAGCCCUGCGCUGGGCGGGGUGGCGGGACCUGGGCUGGCUCUGCCUUGCACUCUGUCGCCUUGAAUAAUGGCCCUGAAAAGCUGGUAGAACCAGAGAUAAAUGACCUCAAAAUCCUGUGACUUGAAGCUUGCUUUCUCACUUGAAAUGAUUUAUCAGGUUUUUAUUCUUCUUUACCUUUAACACAUAUUUGGUUUAACUGAUUUGAAGUCUUUUUUGGGUGUGUUGGGAACAGAGACCCAGACCAUAUGCUGAUGGGAGGGGAACUGUUUUCAGGUCCUUAGGAAUAGGGAACACCCCACCCCCACCCCCCACCCCAUCCCAGGUUUUAAACAUACAUCACUAUCACCUGUUGGAGCAUGUUGGGCUGUGGGGCCGGCCGGACACUAGGUGGCAGCACCGAGUCCUGACCGUCCAUCCCCUGAGAAGCAGGGGCUCUCACAUCAGGUCUCUAGGCUCUUCUCUACUUGUACUGAUCAAGUUUUCAUUUGGGGGCCUUUCAGCCAAAAAAUAAAGCUCACAUACCGAGGCCUGUGCUGAAAGACACGUGGUCAGCCAUAGCUCACAGGCAGGCAAAAAGUAGGGAUCAGCACACUAGGACCCACAGCUGAGAAUGGUUUUUACAUCUUUAAAUGAUUGAAAAGUAAUUUUUCAUGACACACACAAGUUAUAUGAAAUUCACAUGUCAGUGUCCAUAAAUAAAGUUGAUCAGAACACA
Molecule: RNA transcript, 6015 nt
Organism: Camelus dromedarius (Arabian camel)
Lineage: Eukaryota; Metazoa; Chordata; Mammalia; Artiodactyla; Camelidae
Gene: ZCCHC2
Gene name: zinc finger CCHC-type containing 2
Exons: 16
Source: RefSeq, a predicted model, not a curated record